This 484-nucleotide ribosomal RNA is filed under the name uncultured bacterium. Its description in RNAcentral is "bacterial SSU rRNA". It matches the Rfam family "Bacterial small subunit ribosomal RNA", at positions 35 to 507 of the family's 1533-position model. The record is from RNAcentral.
GACGAACGGCUGGCGGCGUGCCUAACACAUGCAAGUCGAGCGGAGUCGAUCGACGGAAGCCUUCGGGCGGAAGAUGGUUGACUUAGCGGCGGAUGGGUGAGUAACGCGUGGGCAACCUGCCUCGAAGACCGGGAUAACAGCCCGAAAGGGCUGCUAAUACCGGAUGUGGUCAAGGAUCCGCAUGGAUUUUGAUUAAAGGGGAAACCCGUUUCGAGAUGGGCCCCGCGUCCUAUCAGCUAGUUGGUGAGGUAAAAGCUCACCAAGGCGACGACGGGUAGCCGGCCUGAGAGGGUGACCGGCCACACUGGAACUGAGACACGGUCCAGACUCCUACGGGGGGCAGCAGUGGGGAAUCUUCCACAAUGGGCGAAAGCCUGAUGGAGCGACGCCGCGUGAGCGAAGAAGGCCUUCGGGUUGUAAAGCUCUGUCUGGAGGGACGAAGGAAGUGACGGUACCUCCGGAGGAAGCCACGGCUAACUACGUG